RNAcentral lists this long non-coding RNA (1170 nucleotides) under Oryctolagus cuniculus (rabbit). RNAcentral describes it as "lncRNA (ENSOCUG00000032527.1)". Lineage: Eukaryota; Metazoa; Chordata; Mammalia; Lagomorpha; Leporidae. The record is from RNAcentral.
GGAGCAGUGAGGAGAACGGAGCCCCCCUCCCCCGACCCUCACACGCAGCCAUGGGGUUGGCAGCCCUGGUGGAACAGGAACACGGGGUGCUGCACGCCUCGGGACGCCCGUGGAAAUGAGAAGAACGAAGAUGCCGGCUGUCAGCGCCCACUCCUGUGUCCAGCGCUCAGCGCCCUGCGGGGCCGAGCCACGCACUCUGCAUCCAGACCAGGGCCUCGGGGCUCGGGCGGCAGCACCAGUGGUCAGGACGGGGGGCGGCAGAGGGGACCCGAACUUAAUUCGAUGACCACGGCCAGGAAGGACCUAAUACACAGCGAUCGACCCAACGAAGGGAGCCAGAUCGGCGCGGAUGGCUUCACCCCACCGCCGGGGAGUCAGGGAAUAAGAGGUCGAGUGGGGAGACAUUCAGCGCUGGGGACGGGGUACCUCAGCGUCCUUUCUUCCCGUUUGCAACAAAACGUUCAUCUCAAGGACUCAGAAAAGCAUGUGACAAGGGACAGCGUGGAAACUCGCCCUCCACGGUAACGCCAAGCCCAGCCCACUGCGCCCUGAGCUGCAGGAGCCCGGCCGUUUAUGGAAUCGCCAGUCCCCCCGUAGGCCCCGUGACGGCAGCUGCGUGCUCCGUCAGCCAUCACAGGAGGCGCCCCCUGAGCAAAGGCGACUUCCUGAACCCAGAGAACUCCCUGCAGCGCUGAGACACGGGAGGACUGGGCGGGAAAGGGUGAGGGCAGAGGGCCCACAGAUGGGCCUGUGAGUGCUGCGGGAGACGCCGCCGGCAGAGGUCAGAGACCCCAGAGAUGAACGAGAGCCCUGAUUCGGGGCCUCACCCUCUCCCCUGGUGCCCCGGUGCUGCUCACGGAAGCUGCGCCUUGGCUAAGGGGACCCCAACCCCAGGUCCCGCCUCUGCCCAGCUCACAUCACUGCCCCCUCCCCGUUCAGCCCAGCUCCCCUGCACCUGACGGCCCUGUAGCAUCCUCUGCCCCUCAGCAGAGGAUGGGGCCCUGCACCCUUCUGGGAGGCCAGGAUGGAGCUCCUGGCUCCUGGCUUCAGCCUGGCCCAGCCCUGGGCAUGAUAGCUAUCUGCAGGUGAUUAGUGAUGAAAGAUCUCUCUAUAUAUCUUACUCUCCCCACUUGAAAUAAACUAAUGAAGAAAUCUUUAAGGAUAAUAACA